AAUCAAGGGGAGGGUAGAUAUGUUCUACCUCUUGACAUGUAGUAUGAACAUAAAGUGGAUUUUUACUUGCUAAAGUAGAAAGAAGAUCCCAACAUUUGAUGAGAAAAUAUACAGAAGAUGUGGAUCUCUCUUUUGGGCAGAUGAAAGUAUAUUGAGUUUACACAUGGUGACAGUACAGAUUUGUUUUUAAUUACAAAAGAACAUGGCUACUGCCUUUGAAUUCUCAACAUUCAGCGUGGUCAGCAGUAGUAAACCUGGCAAUUUGAGGGCAACCCAAGUAAUAGCAGCAACAGCAACAACAGACCUUAAUCAAGCAAUUAAUAUGUGCCAUGUCUCUUGCUAGACAUUUUAACAAGAGUUAUUUUACCUAUGUCACACACUUGUAAUUAUCUGCAUAGUAAAUAAAUGCUUUUAAGGCAUAGGUCACAUGUCUGACUCACAGCUGCGAUGUGGUGGAUCCAAAUCUCUCUGAGGCCAAAUACUGCCCAGCUCGAAUGAACGCUAUGCUCCAUGCCUGAAACAACUGCUCCAGCCCUCAGAAAAGAGUCUCCCAUUCAACUGAAGUCUGCAUAUCAGAUUCCCGUGGGAUAAUUCAUAAAGGCUCCUUGAAGUUAAUUCUGGGUAUAUCCUGAAAUAGAGGGUCUCCUCUGUUUUUUCUUCUUUUUUUCCACAACUGAGGAGACACUAGUGCCUACUUAUCUCAAUAAUGGGAUUUCUCUUUGAUGCAAUUGCAGUUUUUACUAGGCCUUUCAAUAAAUAUGUUGAAUAUU
RNAcentral lists this long non-coding RNA (770 nucleotides) under Homo sapiens (human). RNAcentral describes it as "long intergenic non-protein coding RNA 2759". Lineage: Eukaryota; Metazoa; Chordata; Mammalia; Primates; Hominidae. The record is from RNAcentral.